This 144-nucleotide ribosomal RNA is filed under the name uncultured bacterium. RNAcentral describes it as "partial 16S rRNA". It matches the Rfam family "Bacterial small subunit ribosomal RNA", at positions 352 to 511 of the family's 1533-position model. The record is from RNAcentral.
GUGGGGUAAUUUUUCCGCAAUGGGCGAAAGCCUGACGGAGCAAUGCCGCGUGGAGGUGGAAGGCCUACGGGUCGUCAACUUCUUUUCUCGGAGAAGAAACAAUGACGGUAUCUGAGGAAUAAGCAUCGGCUAACUCUGUUCCAG